Molecule: long non-coding RNA, 890 nt
Organism: Oncorhynchus kisutch (coho salmon)
Lineage: Eukaryota; Metazoa; Chordata; Actinopteri; Salmoniformes; Salmonidae
Exons: 3
Source: RefSeq, a predicted model, not a curated record
CAUUUUUCAUAUGCAUGAAUGUAGCAGCUUGAGACGUCACACAAUUCCACACGAAUGCCCAUUCGUCCAAGAUCAGCUAAGAUGAACGAUGCAGAAAUCUUUUUAAGUCGAUGUUGCACUGCUAUUCCUUACUCAUACGAGACUAUGGAAAUGAGGUGGAGGGUUGGACUGACUACCGUACGGCAGGAUGACAGGAAUGAAGGAAAGCGGAUCUACUUCCCACCUUGUAGUAGCUAGGAGAGAAUGUGGCGAGCCGUGACAGCAUGUUGUCCCCCGGGCGUGUUUGCACAUGAUGGGCGAUGCACUAACAUUCCUGGCUACCGCUGCCUGUCCUCGUAUGCAACCCAGGCAUCUCCAGGAAAUGGCCCCAUUGUCCUUGGGAGAGGAUGAGGCCGCCAGUCCAGGACCGGACCAGCCCCAUCGGCUCACUGGCUGGAUUGAUGGAGAGUGUUGUAAAUUAUUAAUGGCUGUUUCCCUUAUGUGAGACACUGUAGUCUUGUGUUUAAUGUGGAAGAAUGGACAGUGGGAAGCAAUAUAGGAUCUCACCCCACAAGACAGAAUUAGACUACUCUGCUACAUUAAAACAUGUUCAAGUGAUUAUAGUGUUAAGAGGUUCAAGUACCAAUGAUUUUUUUGGUGGAUUAAUAUGGAUAAUAAUAUUGUCUAUAAAUCGGAUUGUUUAACAUGCAACAGCUAUGACAGAGUACGUGUGAUAAAUCUAUAAUGUCCUUUGUAACUCAGUUGGUAGAGCAUGUUGCUUGUAAAGCCAGGGCAGUGGGUUUGAUCCCAGUGCCAACAAUAUGUAAAAUGUAUGCAUGCAUGACUGUUGCUUUGGAUAAAAGCAUCUGCUAAAUGGCAUAUUAUACACUGCUCAAAAAAAUAAAGGGAAC